CACCGCGGUUAUACGAGAGGCCCUAGUUGAUGGACACGGCGUAAAGGGUGGUUAAGGUCCAAUACAAAUAAAGCCAAAAGACCUCUUGGCUGUCAUACGCCCCUGAGUUUCCGAAGCCCACGUACGAAAGUAGCUUUAAUAUUAUUCACCUGACCCCACGAAAGCUGAGAAA
This 172-nucleotide ribosomal RNA is filed under the name Misgurnus anguillicaudatus (oriental weatherfish). RNAcentral describes it as "partial 12S ribosomal RNA". The record is from RNAcentral. Lineage: Eukaryota; Metazoa; Chordata; Actinopteri; Cypriniformes; Cobitidae.